This 222-nucleotide ribosomal RNA is filed under the name Triticum aestivum (bread wheat). RNAcentral describes it as "partial small subunit ribosomal RNA". The record is from RNAcentral. Lineage: Eukaryota; Viridiplantae; Streptophyta; Magnoliopsida; Poales; Poaceae.
AUGAGUUGCUUCGCUUGGAACUGUCGCGGGCUUGGGAACCCGGAGACAGUUCGUGAGCUUCACAACUUAGUGAGGCUGGAAGCGCCCGCCUUGGUCUUUGUGUCUGAAACAAAGAUCGACGAAAGGAGAGUAGCAGACAUAGCUUCAAGGUUAGGGUUCGCUGGUUGUAUGCCCAUAAGCAGUAACGGCUUAGGCGGUUUAGCUUUAUUUUGGUCUAAGGAG